GACAAUUGUUUUAUAAAAAAAGUCUUGGAUCAAUCAUUGCAAAGGGAUAACUUCAUUGAAGAAACUACUAUUACAACGAGGACCAACAUCUAGACAUAAAGGAAUAUUCCGAAAAAAAGCAUCACUUAUAUAAAUAUAUCUAAAUAUAACAAAUGGACAACAAAUCACCAUCGACAACGUAGUGAAAAGAAAAAAAAAGUUUCAGUGAAUAAAUGUUAUCAGAACUCGAUAGGAAUCUGUCGAAUCAAGCAAGAAAUACAUUAUUUGGAUAAACAAAUUUUAAUUUAACAAUUGUGGGAUUAUUUGAUGCGGUCUUACAAUGCCCGGCCAAGUUUCAAACUAUGGUAAACGCGAACACAGUUAAACAUAGAAAAUGUCAAAAAGAGUAAAUGUCGACGAAUUUUUAAAUUUUGGCAUGUCGUCGUCAAUCGCGUGAAAAAUGCAUCACUGGGGUUUAUUUCCAAGAGAAACAAAUACAUUUUACAAAUUAAAGGAUUCAUAAAAUUGCAGAAAGAGAAUUGAUACAAGAACUAGAUGUUUCACUAUCCCUAAUAACGAAAUAACCAAAUAUUCGUUUUAUUUAUUUCGGAAAUGCAAAAAAAGCUGACGUCCCAGGUAUGGGUUUAGACCAUUGAAGAGCCAAUUGAGAGAGCUUCAAAAUGACGUACUACUCAAUCACCUUGAAGCGGUCGAGAAUGUGUAAAACUACCCCCAAUACUAAAAUAACCAAAUGUUUAUUUUAUUUAUUUCGGACUCGCAAAAAAAGCUGACGUCCCAGGUAACAAAUUAGGCCAUUGAAAAACCGCUUAGAAGAUGCUAGUUUAACAGCAAAAUUUAUCAUCAAUGACUUAUCAAUAAAACGACUUCUGAUAACUUCAAGAGAAAUUACCAUAAGAAAUUUAAAUAAACCAUCAUUGCCAAUUUGGAAAGAAAAUUAUCCAAGUAAAAUAUUAUUUGGAUAAAUGGAUAUAAACACAGGUACGAUAUGAGUCGGAGAGGAAUCUGUUUAAAAUGAGAAGGAAAAACCUGCUAUUAAUUCAAGAAAGUGAAUUUUUAAGUAGUUACCGACAGUUUUAAUGUAGAUUUCAGGCCGUUAAGUCAUGAAAAUGCCUAUUUUGAAUAUAAUCUACCGUAAAUCAAGGGCGAAAACCAAUUUUUUGUUCGUUUUAAUAAGAAGCAAUCUUCAGAGCACUAAUUGGUAUUAAUUGUAAUUCGAAGGAGGUUUCGGGGGUUUAAGGUGCGCUCAAAACGAUACAAUGAUUUAAAAUUGUAUCUGACGUUUCGUUUUAAUAAGAAGUCAUCUUCAGGGCAUUAAUUUGUAAUAAUUGGAAUUUGAAGGUUAUUCCGAGGGUUUUAAGUUGCGCUGAAGAUGAUGCAAUGAUUUAAAAUUGUAUCCGACGUUUCGUUUUAGUAAGAAGCCAUCCUCAGAGCCCUAAUUCGUAAUAAUUGCAAUUUAAAUUUAAGAUUUCUAACCUCAUCGUUAGUUGUGAGGUUAUCCGAUACGAUAUCUACGAUAAGAAGAACAAAUGCCAAUAAAUUACAAGAUACUCGUCGAUCAUGCAUUUUUGAAGAUUACGGGAUCCAAAAAUUUAUAUAAAAACAAAAUUACGUACAACAAUAAGAUGUUUUGUCAUGAAGAUUGGUUGGAUUUCAACUUCAAUAGUUAUUGUUAAAUGCAGAUGAAAGUGCCUCUUAAAACUUCAUACCAUUGCGGAAAUUAUCAUCAAUUAAUUAUUAACAAAACAACUGUCAACAACUUCUAAAAAGAUUAUCCUAAAGAACUUUGCACAAUUAUUACAAAUCCAGUAAAUUUCUACCAUGUUUAUAUUAUAAAUUAUAGAUGACAUUGAGCACUACAACAUCAACGUUUCACAUAACUUUUUAAAAUUACUUAUACGAUUUAAAUUAUUUACAUUUUUUUUCUGUCAAAAUAUGAUUUGUAAUGGCUAUAUUUUAAAUAGAUUAUUUUUAAUUGAUUUCUUAGAAUAUUUUGGAAAAUUUAAAUUGUUUUUUUAUUUAUUGAAAUAAUAAAAAAUUUGGAAUAUUUAUACAGAUAGAAAGUAAACCAUUAUCGACAAUUGUUUUAUAAAAAAUGUCUUGGACCAAUCAUUGCAAAGGGAUAACUUCAUUGAAGAAACUACUAUUACAAUGAGGACCAACAUCUAGACAUAAAGGAAUAUUCCGAAAAAAAGCAUCACUUAUAUAAAUAUAUCUAAAUAUAACAAGUAAGUUUUUAAUAAACUCAUAUCGUACGUUAUAUGUAGUAUUUUAAUAUUAAAAAGUUAAUAGUUACUAUAAUAUUUUUAUAAAAUUAACUAGGUAAUAGGUUAUUUUUACAAAACAAAUUAUCUAUUCAAAUUACACAAUCUAAUUUUCCAACAUUUUUAAUUUUUAUACGAUAUUAUUUUCCAUAACCUCUAAUUCAUAUUCGUUUUGUUUCCGAUGGUUACAGGAUUCAAAAAAUUGCAGAAAGAGAAUUGAUACAAGAACUAGAUGUUUCACUACCCCUAGUAACGAAAUAACCAAAUAUUCGUUUUAUUUAUUUCGGAAACGCAAAAAAAGCUGACGUCCCAGGUAUGGGUUUAGACCAUUGAAGAGCCAUUUGAGAGAGCUUCAAAAUGACGUACUACUCAAUCACCUAGAAGCGGUCGAGAAUGUGUAAAACUACCCCCAAUACUAAAAUAACCAAAUGUUUAUUUUAUUUAUUUCGGACUCGCAAAAAAAGCUGACGUCCCAGGUAACAAAUUAGGCCAUUGAAAAACCGCUUAGAUGAGGGUAGUUUAACAGCAAAAUUUAUCAUCAAUGAGUUAUCAAUAAAACGACUUCUGAUAACUUCAAGAGAAAUUACCAUAAGAAAUUUAAAUAAACCAUCAUUGCCAAUUUGGAAAGAAAAUUAUCCAAGUAAAAUAUUAUUUGGAUAAAUUUAUAUAAACACAGUUGCGACGUUAUCCAAUACGGUUCUGCAGUGCCUUUUCCGAAUUUGAAUCCAUGGUAGACACAACCAUAUUCGAACACGAAGAGACGUUGAAGACGCUGAGAUGAGAACAUGGUGCAAAUUUCAAGAUUUUGGAAUAUCGUCGUUCAUCGCGCAAAGAAUACAUCGCGGGGAUUUAUUUUGAGAAGAAACAGAAAUAUUUCAUACAUAACAGGUGAUUAGGAUACCCAAGAAAUUACGCAAAAGCAAAACAAUACGAUAAUAGAAAAGUGAGCAUACAGAAAAAUAUUUGAUAUGAUUCAACAACAAGGUGUUUAGUCAUAAAGAAUGAUUCCAAUUCGGAUUAGAUAGUUUUCAUCAAGUACGAGUGAAUAUACCUCUUACAACAUAAAAAUUACCCCGAGUUAGUUAUCAAAGAAACAAUUGUAGACAACUUCUAAAGAAAUUGUCAUAAGGAACUUGCCAAAAUUGCCAUCACCGAUUUGAAAUGGAUAUAUUUCUGCAAAUGAACAACAAACCAUCAUUGACCAUUGAUGAUCACUUUUAUGAAGAAUGUCUUUGACCAUUCAUCCAAAAAAAAAGCCGUUGAUAAUUUCAUCAAAAAGAUUACCGUUGUGACCCUACAAGGACCGAUGUCAUCUAGACGAGAAGAGGUUUUACAAGAAAUAGGAUACUCGAAUAAAAAGAUUCAAAUGUACCAAGCAAGUUUUAAAUAAACUCAUAUUGUAUAUUAUAUGUAGUGUU
Molecule: long non-coding RNA, 3679 nt
Organism: Cylas formicarius (sweet potato weevil)
Lineage: Eukaryota; Metazoa; Arthropoda; Insecta; Coleoptera; Brentidae
Exons: 7
Source: RefSeq, a predicted model, not a curated record